Long non-coding RNA from Oncorhynchus tshawytscha (Chinook salmon), 908 nucleotides. NCBI's taxonomy places the organism in Eukaryota, Metazoa, Chordata, Actinopteri, Salmoniformes, Salmonidae. The record is from Ensembl.
UAGCAUCCAGUAGCUAGAUUAGCUCUACGCCACUGCAACGCAUCGCAGGUUAACACCCCUAAUCAUGUGCGUCGAGUCAGUGUGGGCGUGACUUUGACAGCAGUUCAGCAGGUUGAAUGAUUUUGAUCCAUGUGAUAGAUCACUACCCGGAUAUCACGAGGAGGUUGGUGUCACAAGAACGGGCUUGUGGUAACGGCUGGAGUAGAACAGGUGGAAUAGUAUCAAAUAAAAUCAAAUCCUUGGUUUCCAUUUGGUUCCAGCCAUUGUUAUGAGCCAUCCUCCCCUCAGCAGCCUGCUGUACCAUCUUGGCUAUUUGACAUCUCUUGCUGACGGUAAUAACAUUAACAACAAGCCACUGGGACUUGGACAAAACCGAGAAAACUGCACUAGGGGGAGCCAGUCAGUUGGACAUGGCUCCUAUAUUUACCUGCUUCCAGUGCACUCCAGCGAGAGGCGGAGGCAUGUGCUGUACCAUUACCAUCACCUGCAAAAACACCAGCACAACCUGACAAAUGUUUUCAAUAAGCUCUUAGUGAUGACAAUAUCAGCACCACUCUUCAAAUGAAAAAGAUCAUGGCAUCAUGGUCGCUCCAAGAGAAGAGAGGGGGGAAAAACAUGGUUUAUGGUCAAGGACAUUUGGAUCCAAGGGUCGUUAUCCUGUUGGAAGGUGAACCUUCGCCCCAGUCUGAGUUCCUGAGCGCUCUGGAGCAGGUUAUCAUCAAGGAUCGCUCUGUACUUUGCUCCAUUCAUCUUUGCCUUGAUUCUGACUAGUCUCCCAGUCCCUGCUGCUGAAAAACAUCCCCACAGCAUGCCACCACCAUGUGCUUCACCAUAGGGAUGGUGCCAGGUUUCAUCCAGACGUGAUGCUUGGUUUCAUCAGACCAUCAAUCUUGGUUUCAUCACACCAG